RNAcentral lists this ribosomal RNA (253 nucleotides) under uncultured bacterium. Its description in RNAcentral is "partial 16S ribosomal RNA". It matches the Rfam family "Bacterial small subunit ribosomal RNA", at positions 524 to 776 of the family's 1533-position model. The record is from RNAcentral.
UACAGAGGUGACAAACGUUGUCCGGAAUUAUUGGGCGUAAAGGGCGCGUAGGUGGUUGAGUAAGUCAGGUGUGAAAGCUCUGGGCUUAACCCAGGAAUUGCAUCUGAUACUGCUCGGCUUGAGUACGGUAGAGGAGGGUGGAAUUCCCAGUGUAGCGGUGAAAUGCGUAGAUAUUGGGAGGAACACCUGUGGCGAAGGCGGCCCCCUGGGCCGGCCCUGACACUGAGACGCGAAGGCGUGGGGAGCGAACGGG